CCAUGAUGCUCACCAACACCAUUUAUGUACUGCUAUAGCUUUAAGCCAUGCAGAUGAAGGAGGAAUAGAGGCAAGAAGAGACCUAGUCUCAGCCCUAGCCAUUCUCCCACUGGCUAGGACAUAUCUUCAUGUAACUUUUGGCUGAAAUUGUCGUUAAGCAGCAUAGCAAAGUGGAUCACUUCUGCCUAGACAUGGAUGAAAGAGAUGGGUGCAAGGAGGAGGAACCAGUAAAAGAUGAGGAAGCAAAAAAUGAGGCAUCCAGAAUGAGCAGUGAAGAGUCUCUAUGUUACUUCAGCCGUGUUUCUACUGCUAUGAGGAAAUGAUCACUGUUGGGAAAGUUGUUCAGUGCAUUGGUUAUCUGCUGUGAACUUCUUGUGAAGGGAGCUGUGUUUUCCCUCAGUACCUCUCACUUGAAAUGGAUCCAGAAUUACUGACUUGAAUUGUGAGGUCAUAAUAUGUUCAUAUGUGGAGCCUAGGCACAAGUGAUGGGCAAGGAGCACAGCAUGUGGGCAUGGAUGACAGCCCAAACGUACCAGUCACACAAGCUAUCUGGUCUCAUCCAGAAGAAAGGAGACAGAUGUCUGAUAACAGGCUUUAUCUGAAGAGGAUCUGCCUCAAUUCACUGGACUGUGUGCGGAAUCUGCUCCUGCUACCAGCCUUCUUUUUUUGGAUGCAUUAAGGUUGCGCUGUGACCAUAGAGGACGGUGUGUGCACUGUAGCACCCUAGCUCCUGGCUUAUCUUUUAUUGUGGAGUAGCUGUGCUCUUGUUUCCUGCUGCUACAGGGUUACUUUUCAAUAUGAUGGACUGUAUACACACUCCUCAGUCCCCCACCUCAUGAACACCACCGGAGAGCACUUUAUGGCAUGGCACCUCCCAUGAAAAUGCUCUAUCCAAGCCACAGAGAAUCUGCUGGUUUGGGAGAGGGUAGCUCGCAGAAGGGAAAACGUCCAUGAGGAUGAACCUGACAUCUACAAGUAACCCUUGUGCCAAUCCUGUGGUUUCUGCUGUUCCUCCAGGGCCUAAGAAGACCUUAAAUGAUCUGCAGGGCUUCUGUGCAGAUUCCUUUCUUUUGUAAGCAAAAGGAGGGCAAGAGGAUUAGGCACUGUCUCUCUCAAUUAAGAAUAAAGAGAACUCCAGUUUGGAGCA
This is a long non-coding RNA of Numida meleagris (helmeted guineafowl), 1147 nucleotides long. RefSeq lists it as uncharacterized. Lineage: Eukaryota; Metazoa; Chordata; Aves; Galliformes; Numididae. The transcript has 3 exons. The record is from RefSeq and is a predicted model, not a curated record.